Caenorhabditis elegans is the source of this 21-nucleotide non-coding RNA. The record is from Ensembl. NCBI's taxonomy places the organism in Eukaryota, Metazoa, Nematoda, Chromadorea, Rhabditida, Rhabditidae.
UGCUCCUCUUUUCCCUUUGUU